GAAACUGCCUGAUGGAGGGGGAUAACUACUGGAAACGGUAGCUAAUACCGCAUAACGUCGCAAGACCAAAGAGGGGGACCUUCGGGCCUCUUGCCAUCGGAUGUGCCCAGAUGGGAUUAGCUAGUAGGUGGGGUAACGGCUCACCUAGGCGACGAUCCCUAGCUGGUCUGAGAGGAUGACCAGCCACACUGGAACUGAGACACGGUCCAGACUCCUACG
This 219-nucleotide ribosomal RNA is filed under the name Escherichia coli. RNAcentral describes it as "partial 16S ribosomal RNA". It matches the Rfam family "Bacterial small subunit ribosomal RNA", at positions 122 to 343 of the family's 1533-position model. Lineage: Bacteria; Pseudomonadati; Pseudomonadota; Gammaproteobacteria; Enterobacterales; Enterobacteriaceae. The record is from RNAcentral.